This 535-nucleotide long non-coding RNA is filed under the name Coturnix japonica (Japanese quail). RNAcentral describes it as "lncRNA (ENSCJPG00005010197.1)". The record is from RNAcentral. Lineage: Eukaryota; Metazoa; Chordata; Aves; Galliformes; Phasianidae.
CUCAAGUUCUGUAUGAGAAUUCCUCUAGAUGCAGUUCAAAAUUUAUUGUGAGAACUCCAGUUUUGUCACAGUCUUUUUUUCUAGGUAAGAGGAGCAAUGAAACAGCUCCUUGACCACUUGCCUGCAGUGUUCUUGAUCCAAUUUUUUUUUUUAACAGGACCUAAGUACAUUCAUCUCCCUUUCCUGCAAGUGAGUGAUGAUGAAGGAAGUAAAGAGAUGUAUAAAGUACCAGACAGUGGCAGAAAUGAGGAACUAAGGCUUUCCUUCCCAAUAAAAUCUCCAAAUGCAAUAAUGCUGUUUUCUGUGGAAGAAGAAUGUUGCUCUUUAAAAAGUAAGUGGCUCCCAGAUAAGUUUUGUGGCACAUUUCAUCAUAGCAUUUCCAUUGAUUUUAGAUGUUGCAGUAGCUCUUUCAGCUUUUAGAAACUUGGCAACAGUGCAUUAGAGUAACUCGAGAUUAUUGCCAAUUCAGAAAGGGAGCAGAGAAUGAUGCUUUCAUGAAUUUGUGGUGCCUGUAUCUGUGAAACUCUGAAACGCG